This 138-nucleotide small nucleolar RNA is filed under the name Pteropus vampyrus (large flying fox). RNAcentral describes it as "Small nucleolar RNA SNORA74 (ENSPVAG00000029422.1)". Lineage: Eukaryota; Metazoa; Chordata; Mammalia; Chiroptera; Pteropodidae. The record is from RNAcentral.
CCCAGCUGUAGGCAGCUGCCUAGGUUGCCUUGUACCCAGACAAGUGUGACACUGCUGGGAGAACAGCAGCCAGUAGCUGGUUGGCCUUGCUCAUGCCAACUCUGUUGUUUAAAUAUACCAGGUGCCAGCACAGAUAAA